GACGAACGCUGGCGGCGUGCUUAACACAUGCAAGUCGAACGGUGAUGGCCAGCUUGCUGGUCGGAUCAGUGGCGAACGGGUGAGUAACACGUGAGUAACCUGCCCCAGACUCUGGGAUAAGCCUUGGAAACGAGGUCUAAUACUGGAUAUGAGAUGCCCCUGCAUGGGGAGUGUCUGGAAAGAUUUAUCGGUCUGGGAUG
This 200-nucleotide ribosomal RNA is filed under the name uncultured bacterium. Its description in RNAcentral is "partial 16S ribosomal RNA". It matches the Rfam family "Bacterial small subunit ribosomal RNA", at positions 28 to 227 of the family's 1533-position model. The record is from RNAcentral.